GAGGGAAAAGAGAGAGAGGUCGAUCGACAGGGAAGGAGGGAGAGUGAAGAAAUUGAAGGAGAGAUCGAGAGCGAAAGUAGAAGAAGCGUGUGAGUGAAGAAGAUCUUACCGAGCUAGGAGAAGAUGGAGACUGAAGAUAUAGUAAGACAUGAGAUAGAACCAAAACCCCAGCCAGUGGGACCAUAUCUAGGGGAAACGAAUUAACAAGAAACUGGAUGCAUGUUGGAUUAUACUGAAUAUUCAUUCAUUUUAUGUCUCGAUAGUAAAUAAGAACUUUUUUUAUUUAUUUUUCAUUUGCUACCUUGAUAUGGUUGAAUUGUAAAACGAGUUGUGAAGAUUUUAUUAAAUACACUUGAUAAUUGUAAUGCAUAAAAGAAGAUUGGUUUUAAA
Non-coding RNA from Carica papaya (papaya), 390 nucleotides. Lineage: Eukaryota; Viridiplantae; Streptophyta; Magnoliopsida; Brassicales; Caricaceae. The record is from RefSeq and is a predicted model, not a curated record.